UUGAGCGCUAGCGGGAUGCCUUACACAUGCAAGUCGAACGGCAGCACGGACUUCGGUCUGGUGGCGAGUGGCGAACGGGUGAGUAAUGUAUCGGAACGUGCCCAGUAGCGGGGGAUAACUACGCGAAAGCGUAGCUAAUACCGCAUACGCCCUAAGGGGGAAAGCAGGGGAUCGCAAGACCUUGCACUAUUGGAGCGGCCGAUAUCGGAUUAGCUAGUUGGUGAGGUAAUGGCUCACCAAGGCGACGAUCCGUAGCUGGUUUGAGAGGACGACCAGCCACACUGGGACUGAGACACGGCCCAGACUCCUACGGGAGGCAGCAGUGGGGAAUUUUGGACAAUGGGGGCAACCCUGAUCCAGCCAUCCCGCGUGUGCGAUGAAGGCCUUCGGGUUGUAAAGCACUUUUGGCAGGAAAGAAACGGCGCGUGUUAAUACCAUGCGCAACUGACGGUACCUGCAGAAUAAGCACCGGCUAACUACGU
RNAcentral lists this ribosomal RNA (482 nucleotides) under uncultured bacterium. RNAcentral describes it as "bacterial SSU rRNA". It matches the Rfam family "Bacterial small subunit ribosomal RNA", at positions 30 to 506 of the family's 1533-position model. The record is from RNAcentral.